CGACGUGCAGAAGUCCAGCCUUGUAUGGUGCAGAGCGCGAGGUCGAACAUGCAGAAGAUGAGUGUGAAUUCGUGUGGCGCAACACUACAUUGUGCGGUGUCUUAGAUAGGCUCGAGGCUCAAGCUCACUGUUGGCGGCGACAUCCGUACGAUCCUGCAAGUGGAAGGGCCUGUGUGGCAGUUGAUUCAUGGAUUUUACGUUGUAGACACACGCGAAGAAUUGAAAUGCAUGUAUACACUAAGUCAUGUAUACAAUCAAAUUUUGACAAACUUGGCACAUUUUUUGUUGGUUGGAGAGAGCACGUAGCAUUAGACAAAAAAACGGUGAGCUAAUCAAUCAAUCACCUCUAGAUCGCCACUCUAACCAUUCCUCGUUUCUUGCUUGUACUUACAAAAGGAACAAAAUUGCAUGGCUUUUGGCCACCACUUCGACUCAAUCAUUAAAUCCCAAUGUUUUUGAGUCACUUCAACAAUUUCAUUUUCCAAAUACAAUUUGGAUCCUAAUAAAUUAAGAUCGGACGGGAUUAACUAGAACACGGUGCUGAUUUGAAGGAUUGAGAAGUUAAGGUUCUGUUCAGACUUUGUCUAUAUGUAAUUUACUCAAUGAGAAACUUCGUUUUUCUUUUUUUUUUUAAAGAAGGCAUUGGCCAAAUUUGACUUUUUUCGGCAUGCCCAAAUCGUCCGGCUAUAGGU
This 692-nucleotide long non-coding RNA is filed under the name Brachypodium distachyon (stiff brome). RNAcentral describes it as "long non-coding RNA (BDIS_LNC000603)". The record is from RNAcentral. Lineage: Eukaryota; Viridiplantae; Streptophyta; Magnoliopsida; Poales; Poaceae.